AUUGAACGCUGGCGGCAUGCCUUACACAUGCAAGUCGAACGGCAGCACGGGUGCUUGCACCUGGUGGCGAGUGGCGAACGGGUGAGUAAUACAUCGGAACAUGUCCUGUAGUGGGGAAUAGCCCGGCGAAAGCCGGAUUAAUACCGCAUACGAUCUACGGAUGAAAGCGGGGGACCUUCGGGCCUCGCGCUAUAGGGUUGGCCGAUGGCUGAUUAGCUAGUUGGUGGGGUAAAGGCCUACCAAGGCGACGAUCAGUAGCUGGUCUGAGAGGACGACCAGCCACACUGGGACUGAGACACGGCCCAGACUCCUACGGGAGGCAGCAGUGGGGAAUUUUGGACAAUGGGCGAAAGCCUGAUCCAGCAAUGCCGCGUGUGUGAAGAAGGCCUUCGGGUUGUAAAGCACUUUUGUCCGGAAAGAAAUCCUUGGCUCUAAUACAGUCGGGGGAUGACGGUACCGGAAGAAUAAGCACCGGCUAACUACGUGCCAGCAGCCGCGGUAAUACGUAGGGUGCGAGCGUUAAUCGGAAUUACUGGGCGUAAAGCGUGCGCAGGCGGUUUGCUAAGACCGAUGUGAAAUCCCCGGGCUCAACCUGGGAACUGCAUUGGUGACUGGCAGGCUAGAGUAUGGCAGAGGGGGGUAGAAUUCCACGUGUAGCAGUGAAAUGCGUAGAGAUGUGGAGGAAUACCGAUGGCGAAGGCAGCCCCCUGGGCCAAUACUGACGCUCAUGCACGAAAGCAUGGGGAGCAGACAGGAUUAGAUACCCUGGUAGUCCACGCCCUAAACGAUGUCAACUAGUUGUUGGGGAUUCAUUUCCUUAGUAACGUAGCUAACGCGUGAAGUUGACCGCCUGGGGAGUACGGUCGCAAGAUUAAAACUCAAAGGAAUUGACGGGGACCCGCACAAGCGGUGGAUGAUGUGGAUUAAUUCGAUGCAACGCGAAAAACCUUACCUACCCUUGACAUGGUCGGAAUCCCGCUGAGAGGUGGGAGUGCUCGAAAGAGAACCGGCGCACAGGUGCUGCAUGGCUGUCGUCAGCUCGUGUCGUGAGAUGUUGGGUUAAGUCCCGCAACGAGCGCAACCCUUGUCCUUAGUUGCUACGCAAGAGCACUCUAAGGAGACUGCCGGUGACAAACCGGAGGAAGGUGGGGAUGACGUCAAGUCCUCAUGGCCCUUAUGGGUAGGGCUUCACACGUCAUACAAUGGUCGGAACAGAGGGUUGCCAACCCGCGAGGGGGAGCUAAUCCCAGAAAACCGAUCGUAGUCCGGAUUGCACUCUGCAACUCGAGUGCAUGAAGCUGGAAUCGCUAGUAAUCGCGGAUCAGCAUGCCGCGGUGAAUACGUUCCCGGGUCU
RNAcentral lists this ribosomal RNA (1354 nucleotides) under uncultured bacterium. RNAcentral describes it as "bacterial SSU rRNA". It matches the Rfam family "Bacterial small subunit ribosomal RNA", at positions 28 to 1381 of the family's 1533-position model. The record is from RNAcentral.